This 253-nucleotide ribosomal RNA is filed under the name uncultured bacterium. RNAcentral's name for it is "partial 16S ribosomal RNA". It matches the Rfam family "Bacterial small subunit ribosomal RNA", at positions 524 to 776 of the family's 1533-position model. The record is from RNAcentral.
UACAGAGGGGGCAAGCGUUGUUCGGAAUUACUGGGCGUAAAGGGCGCGUAGGCGGCCCGCUAAGUCGAACGUGAAAUCCCCGAGCUCAACUCGGGAACUGCGUCCGAUACUGGCGGGCUUGAAUCCGGGAGAGGGAUGCGGAAUUCCAGGUGUAGCGGUGAAAUGCGUAGAUAUCUGGAGGAACACCGGUGGCGAAAGCGGCAUCCUGGACCGGCAUUGACGCUGAGGCGCGAAAGCUAGGGGAGCAAACGGG